RNAcentral lists this non-coding RNA (179 nucleotides) under Verrucomicrobia bacterium Tous-C9LFEB. Its description in RNAcentral is "6S RNA". It matches the Rfam family "6S / SsrS RNA". Rfam says of the family: E. coli 6S RNA was the first non coding RNA to be sequenced, but its function was unknown until recently. It consists of 184 nucleotides that fold into an extended hairpin structure with a large single-stranded internal bulge. The record is from RNAcentral. Lineage: Bacteria; Pseudomonadati; Verrucomicrobiota.
UUUGCCCUGCGAUGCCCGUGAUGUGGAUACCAUUCUUUCUGCCGAUUCAUACUAUUAAGGGAACACCAGCGCGCCCGGAAUAAAGCCAUGCCUUCACUGGAAGGCGGUUAAACUGGCCGCCGUUCCCCCCUUGUACCAAGGGUCGAAAGAACCUUCCCCACGACAUCUGCGGGGCAAUC